This 71-nucleotide transfer RNA is filed under the name Chloroflexota bacterium. RNAcentral describes it as "Chloroflexi bacterium (hydrothermal vent metagenome) tRNA-Gln". It matches the Rfam family "tRNA". From Rfam's summary of the family: Transfer RNA (tRNA) molecules are approximately 80 nucleotides in length. The record is from RNAcentral. Lineage: Bacteria; Bacillati; Chloroflexota.
UGGGGUGUCGCCAAGUGGUAAGGCAGCGGACUUUGAAUCCGCCAUCCCAGGUUCGAAUCCUGGCACCCCAG